Clarias gariepinus (North African catfish) is the source of this 1967-nucleotide long non-coding RNA. RefSeq lists it as uncharacterized. The record is from RefSeq and is a predicted model, not a curated record. Lineage: Eukaryota; Metazoa; Chordata; Actinopteri; Siluriformes; Clariidae. The transcript has 2 exons.
CUUUGGGAUAAGACUGCUGCUUACGACCAGGGAGUAAGAGCUCCUGAGAGCCGAACACCAGCAUUCCCAAACUGUCGGAAUUCUUCAUUUGUCUUCGACCCAGACGCCGAAAGCUCUUCAAACAGGAUACGGAGGUAGAUGGCAAAAGAGAUUUGAAGUGAUAGCCCAUUUUAGAGAAGAGAAAGGCCCUAAUUGUCUCCGCUCCCCACAGCUCCCUCCCUGUGACAGCCUCGCAUGCCACUGGAGAAAGAAAAGGAGAAGAAAGCGGCUGAGAGAGAUAGAGUGAGAGAAGAAGAAAAAAAACGAGCGAGGGAGAGAGAGAGAGAGCUGGAGAGGACAGUUUCGCUGUGCAGCUGCUCCCGUGGAUGUUUUUGGAUUACAUCAGUGCUCUGCCAAAGAAAGGAGCGAAGGACAGAUAGACAAGGGAUCAGAAGGAGAAGGGAGCGGGGCACACUCCACAAAUCAGGGCUCUUAGUUCGGGAGGGGGCCCCGGCUCGGUUCUUGGAGUUCUCUCGGACAGAGCUGUCAUUGUUAGCAGGUUGAAGUGGGUAAAGCCAGGGCUGAAUAGUGCAGCAGGCCCCCCUCGUCACCACUGCACCCCCCCUCGAUCUACAUCCUGACAACACAGCAACAGCAACUCAACCUUGCCCUGUCAGCUGCCUGCGCCUGAGCCCCACGCCUCGGCCCCGCGCCUGAGCUUGGCAUGCAGCUGAGAUUACAUUGCUCUGGACACACACUCCUGGUUCGUCUUUGGAAUUAAUACUUACACAUCUCUGUUUGGCCAGCAGGCACAGGGCAUUGAGGCUGUCAAACAGAACGAGAGAAAAGGGGGGAACUAGAAAUAUACAGAGGAGUGAAGAAAGGGCUUUUGUUGCAUUAGAACAUCAUUAGGUAUCACUUUGUAGUGUCAUUUCGCAAUGUUUUCAGGUGUUUUGGUGGUGGUUUUGGUUAUAUUACUGCUGUUUCGCAGGGUUUUAUGGCAUGUCAUCUGCCUUUUCAUUGGCAAUAAACUGCUUAGGAAAAAGCCGAGAGACCGGGGACAGAAGGAAUUGUCAGAGUAGACGUCACUAUGAAUGUUCAUGAAUGUCAUUUGGGUAAAAAUUGUCCAUUCACAUUUAUUUUCAGCUACUAGUACUAAUAAUAAUAAUAAGGAUAAUAGUCAUGAUCAUCAUAAGGUGGUACGGUAGCUUAGUGGUUAGCACCUCCUAGUUCCUCCAGGUACUCCGGUUUCCCCCCACAGUCCAAAGACAUGCAGAUUAGGCUGAUUGGAUUUCUCAAAUUGCCCGCAGUGUCUGAACAAGCGUGUGAGUGUGUGUGUGUGUGUGGCCUGUCAUGGAUUGGCCACACCUCAUGCCCUGUCCACGUCACCUGAAAUAGCCUCCAGACACCUGGCCCUGUAUACAGGAUAAGAAUGUACUGUAUAGACGAUGGGUGAGUGAGUGAGCGAUAUGAUCAUCAUGAUCAACUCAGGUUGUGAUGUAAUAUCAGUAAAUCAUUUCUAUACAUUCACACAAAUCAGAUUAAAUAAUAAUACAAACCAGGGUGAAUAAAAGUGGUUCUUGGAAACAUGAAGCCAGAUAAAAUUAAACUAAAUUAGCCAAUUUUUUUAAUGAACAUAAUGAUUAUGUAACUCGAUGACUAUAUAAUGCAAAUCAAAACUUUUGUGAUUAUGACAAAUUAGCGAGUGCACUACCAAUUAACUGAUAAAUAGUUUUUCUAUUUGUCUCUUUUAGAUGAGAAAAUCACACUCAGCUUUUCUUUACUGCCAUUUUUUUAACCUAUUGUAUUAGGUUGUUUUCCAGUUUAUAAUUAGGAAUAAAUGAUUCUACACAAGAUAAUAUUCAUGUGUGUUUAAAAUGCUUCUUUUAUCCCUAGAAACUGUCUAACGUGUGGGAAAUCCUAUAAGAACAAAUCAUUGUAAUUUCUUUUUGGCAUUAAAUAAAUGAUAAUAAAUGCAUUUAACUCAA